GAUGAAGAACGUAGCAAAAUGCGAUAAGUAAUGCGAAUUGCAGAAUUUCCGUGAGUCAUCGAAUCUUUGAACGCACAUUGCGCCCCCUGGUAUUCCGGGGGGCAUGCCUGUCCGAGCGUCAUUACAACCCUCAAGCUCAGCUUGGUGUUGGGCCCCGCCGCCCCGGCGGGCCCUAAAGUCAGUGGCGGUGCCGUCCGGCUCCGAGCGUAGUAAUUCUUCUCGCUCUGGAGGUCCGGUCGUGUGCUCGCCAGCAACCCCCAAUUUUUUUCAGGUUGACCUCGGAUCAGGUAGGGAUACCCGCUGAACUUAAGCAUAUCAAUAAGCGGAGGA
RNAcentral lists this unclassified non-coding RNA (330 nucleotides) under soil metagenome. RNAcentral's name for it is "partial contains 5.8S ribosomal RNA, internal transcribed spacer 2, and large subunit ribosomal RNA". The stretch from base 1 to 121 matches the Rfam family "5.8S ribosomal RNA", at positions 35 to 154 of the family's 154-position model. The record is from RNAcentral.